UACGGAGGGUGCGAGCGUUGUCCGGAAUCACUGGGCGUAAAGGGCGCGUAGGCGGCGCGGGAAGUCAUCGGUGAAAGUUCAGGGCUCAACUCUGAAUCGGCCGGUGAUACUCCCGUGCUCGAGCACUGUAGAGGCAGGUGGAAUUCCGGGUGUAGCGGUGGAAUGCGUAGAGAUCCGGAAGAACACCGGUGGCGAAGGCGGCCUGCUGGGCAGUAGCUGACGCUGAUGCGCGACAGCGUGGGGAGCAAACAGG
RNAcentral lists this ribosomal RNA (253 nucleotides) under uncultured bacterium. RNAcentral's name for it is "partial 16S ribosomal RNA". It matches the Rfam family "Bacterial small subunit ribosomal RNA", at positions 524 to 776 of the family's 1533-position model. The record is from RNAcentral.